UAGGGACAGAAGAGACGUCACGGACUCAGUAGUAUGUUUCUCACUUAAAGCAAAUCAACACCCUGAGAAGUGAAGACCUUAGUAACCACAUCGAUAGAGUGAACAGGGAAUACAAAGCUUAGUAUACUGGACUUGAAGGAAAUUAUAGAACUAGGAAACUGAUUGAAAAAAACAGGAAGAAAGUCUGAAAACAUGGAGUAGCUAGUGAUGUCAAUGAACUUGAUCCUGUGAUGUGGACACAAGCAGCAGUGACCUCAUGAUAUUUGGGAGGACUUAUUAACUGACAAUUAUUGAAAUACAAGAGGACAUGGUACCAAGGAGGAUUUUGUAUACACAUAUGUGACUCUAUGGAUUAUAUCUAACAUUUUCAACAUCAGUUUUG
Ylistrum balloti is the source of this 382-nucleotide long non-coding RNA. RefSeq lists it as uncharacterized. Lineage: Eukaryota; Metazoa; Mollusca; Bivalvia; Pectinida; Pectinidae. The transcript has 4 exons. The record is from RefSeq and is a predicted model, not a curated record.